RNAcentral lists this ribosomal RNA (430 nucleotides) under Eogammarus possjeticus. RNAcentral describes it as "partial 16S rRNA". It matches the Rfam family "Bacterial large subunit ribosomal RNA", at positions 1947 to 2609 of the family's 2925-position model. Lineage: Eukaryota; Metazoa; Arthropoda; Malacostraca; Amphipoda; Anisogammaridae. The record is from RNAcentral.
CGUGCUAAGGUAGCAUAAUCACUUGGUCUUUAAUUGAGGUCUGGUAUGAACGGUCAAACAAAGACAAACUUCUUAUUUAUAAAGAUAAAACUUAAGUUUUAUGUAAAAACGCUUAAAUAGUUGUGGGACGACAAGACCCUAAAAGCUUUAUCUUAUUUUAAAAAGAUACAUUAUUAUCUAAUUAAUUUGUUAGAUUUAGUUGGGGUAACAACUUUAAAUAUAUUAAGGUAAUUUUAAUACAUACUAGUAUAUCAAGACCCUUAAUAUUAGGGAAAAGGUAAAAGUUACUUUAGGGGUAACAGGGUAAUUAUUUUUUGGAGUUCUUAUCUACAAAAUAGAUUGCCACCUCGAUGUUGAAUUAAGAUGCCUACGCUAUGCAAAAGGUGCGAAAGGGGGUUUGUUCAACCUUUAAUUUCUUACAUGAUCUGAG